Triticum dicoccoides is the source of this 3852-nucleotide RNA transcript. RefSeq lists it as uncharacterized. The transcript is spliced from 2 exons. Lineage: Eukaryota; Viridiplantae; Streptophyta; Magnoliopsida; Poales; Poaceae. The record is from RefSeq and is a predicted model, not a curated record.
GGAGCCGUGACCACCGAGCCUCCGCUCUCUCUCUCUCUUGGCCCUCGCUCACUUAUACUAUAUCUCUAGGGAAACCUAGCUAAGACGCUCCCUCCUCUCCUCUCGCAAUAACAAGACGGAGGAGAGCAAAGCUCUUCUUCCCAAGUAAGUAAGAUAGUGAUCCUAGAGGGAGGGAGGGAGGGCAUCCCAUGUGCUUGGCCUUCCAAGUUAAAGGAGCUAGCUCUUUAGACCAGGUAAGGUUUGUUCAUGGCGUCGUGGUUCGAUCGUGCCAACUUGAUAACUCGGUUUGUUCGCGAGACCGUUCCUUUUAGACUUUGGCCAUGGUUUUUUGUUUGUUUGUUUUGUUUAGAUUAGAUCGAGAUGACCCGUACAAACCAACCUCAUGAUUUUUAGAUUAAGCUUUUGAUGUUGCCCAACUUGAUGCAAUUUUUUUUUCGUCGAUUCUAAUUUGCUACAACUAGCUAGUCGCUUCUGCCAUGCAUGCUUCUAUCGGAUGGGUCGAUCGAAGGAGGGUUUUGAGUCCCACUCCCACUUCUUCUUCUCUUAAUGUUCUUGUAAUCACGCCGAUGCCGAAACCACAUACGCUAUAAAUGAGUUACCUUUGAUUUCAUGCAAUGCACUGAAUUACCUUUGAUCAAUUUAGAGAUUUGUUUGUUUGAUUAAUGAAAAUAUGUAUGUAUGUAUGUUUCCACUGGCUGGGUUGGGCUGGGCUGUUUGGGAACUGGGAUUUUUAAAUGGUGGCAAAUAGUAACUAAAAUUCAUACAAGGUUAAUUACCACACGGACACAGUCAAAGAAGAUAGUAAGUAUAUAUGAAGAAGAAGAGCACAUGUGCAUCGUGGAGGACACAAUCAGAAAGUAAGUUUCUUUGUCACAAUCAUUCACUCCUCAGAUUCUAUAAAGAGCACGCCCACACAGUGCCACUCCCAAACACACAGCUAGCACACCACUCUCUCACACUCAACACACAAUGACUCGCAGCAAGAUGCCUGCACGUAAGGUGAUGGGGGUGCUGCUCUUUCUUGCUCUCCUGUGGAGCAGCCACCUGGUGAUGGUAGCCGAGGCUGCCGAGGAUAUCCUUCCGUCAGACGAGCUGAGCCUUGAGGUUCUUGCACUGCUCGAGGACAUCAUGAAGUCCAACCUGUGCCCGGCAGCAUGCGUGACCUGCUUGGUGCAGGUCGGGAAGAGCUGCCCUCUCAUCUUGAUGAUGUUUGCUCCAUGCGUCCUUGGUAAGGUCAUGGCAGACCAGAGCUGCCCUCUCACCUUGAUGAUGUUUGCUCCAUGUUUGCUCGCAGCGCCGCUUCUUCUUCUACCUUGAGCUGCCUCACACAACUCUCUCUCUCUCUUCUUUCUAUCUUCUCUCAAGAACACACGCACACGCUCACGCACACAACCAAGGGAGAAACCGACUACUAGCUUUGCCAAGAGGUCAGCUCGUUGGUUCACACGAGAGACUACAUUUUUUCUACCAGAGCCCUCACGGCUUCAUUCUCAUUAAUCAAAGCACUAUUUAUACAAGGGACUAUGCACACACGAACCAGCCACUGCUCUCGGCAGCCCCACUAAUGGCACGAUCUCCAUGCACGCACACUCUCAACGGCCACACGACGUAGCCCACUGGGACCUUUUCUCAUCCCAACUAACUCACGCAUGAAGCUAGCAACUAUCUGCAUGCAACUAACUACCUAAACCGAACGCAUACACUUAUCACUACAAGAGUUGACCGGAUGAGCCGGCUCAACCUGUCACGCUCCAGCCUCUUGUGCGACUUGCCGCUUCACGCACCACCACGGCUUCACGCCGCAUCGGCAUCUUUCCAUACUCGCCGCAUCGCACGACAGCGCGACAUCUCGCCUCCUUCGCACACCUUGCCUGAAACUUGACAGGACUCUCUACUCGAUCCCUAGACCAUCUAAGUUACAUGCAGGACUCAAAACAAAUAUUCAGAUACAAAUAUCAGUUUUGCUAGAACUCAUCUAGAUGAGAUUUAAUUUGGUCUCAUUCAUCAUUUAUAACCGUUGGAUGUGGUGCUAUAAGAUGCAUGUGUGCUGACAUGGGCUGUAUCCGUUCUUGUUUUCCAGGUGAAUAAGACCAAAUUACGUCUCAUCUAGAUGAGUUCUAGGUACUCCCUACAAAUAUCAAGAUUAAACCUAACAACAUUGACCGGAGCACUGCCGGCCGAGAUCCGCCGCGGGCAGGCCCCAGGCCGCCGCCUGGUCGCUCGCCGUGCCUGCAGGUCGCGCCGCAGGGAGGCCCCAAGCCACCGUCCGGUCGCCAUUGACCCAUUUGUGCUCGUCGGCGUCCGCGACGCCGUUAGGGCGCUCCAUGCGGGGAGCGGCGAGGAGCAGAGGCUGCGGAUUCCACCCUCCACCGAGCAGGUGACUCCUCGAGGCGUGGCGGGAGGCGGGGCAGCUCUGGUGGCGAAGGGCGCGGGGCGGGCGGCUCCAGCGGCGACCCGUAGUCUGGCGGCUCCAGCGGCGACCCGUGGCUCCAGCGGCGAAGGGCAGCGGUGGCGGCUCCAGCGACGACCUGCGGCUGCCGCGGCGAGCGGCUCCAGGGGCGAAGGGUGGCAGGCGACACCCGCGGCCAAGGGCGGCGGCUCCAGCGGCGAGAGGUUUUCGCGGCUGCACUUGCGGCGAAGUGUGGCUCCGGCUGCACCUGUUGGCCACGCUGGCACCUGAACUAUGGGCCUGGCCUGGCAGAAACGUGAUUAACCGCAGUAAAGCGGGCGGUUCCACGACUUGGUAGUUUUUUGCCACUGAUUAGGUAAAAAGUGGUAGUUUUCCACACAAAAUCGUAAAGUGGUAGUUUCUGACCACGUUUUCAUGAAAUGUGGUAGUUUUUGGUUAAAUACUCCAUCCUUGAGGAAGAUUAUCCAGAUUCGCAAUCUGUAGCUUGCCAAGCACAGGUGCAAGCAGUUUGGGGCACUCAGGUAGAACCCAAAUCUGGCAUGUACAAACUGCAAACAAAUUACAUUACACCCUCGAGAGCUAGAAAAGGGACUUUGUUAAGUUAUUAAUAUUACUAUUAUAAGCAUAUAGAAAUAGGAAUGAGACAUAUAUGGAUGACUAGUGAGUACCUUUUCACUUUGAAAAUCCAGACGCAGGUCGGUUAUCCAGGCUACAUUAGCAAGGAGCUCACUUAACUUGAUAUUACUAGCCGAACUAACACCAACUUUCCAAGGAUUAGCUUUGAAAGCUGCGGGACAGAAGCAAAAAAUCAGGCGAUCUUGUUGGUGGGCGAGCGGGAAGGACCGGGGCGUCGCCCACGACGCAGACGAGACCGGCGGCGGCUUAUGGUGGCGCGGUCGAUGAGGACCUGCUGGAUCUCGCCGGAUCUGGUGGGAUGGCGCGCAGGCGGCGGAUCCGGAAGGAAAGCGGCCCGAGCUUGGAGCACGAGGCAUGGCGUGGGAGGACGGGAGGAAGGAGAUGGGAGCGGUGAGGUGCGGCGGUGGUCCCGCUUCAGGGUGGACGCGGUCCGGGCCGGUCCGGUCCCUGACCGAGCCUUGCUUUGGACCGGCCGUGGCCGGUCCGGACAGGACCGGACCGAGAUGUCCAGCGAGCCGUUUUUUCUGGACCGGACCGUGUGAGCGUCAGCUCGGUUAGGCCCGAGAGGACCGAAUGGACCGGCUGGUGUUGCCUGGGAGUCUGUUUUUGUUGUGUUUAGCUGCUGUGUAGGCACCUUUUGAUUCUGGAAAGCAAAUGAAGCAAACAGAGGACAGAGGAGGAGAUCGUCAUGCAAAAUGAUCAGUUUACGGCUCCAACUGACGAAACUGUAUUGUCUGACAAAACUGACGAAACUGAAGAAAACUUUAUUGUCUGACGAAACUGAAUUCUAACAACUUACGGCUAUA